Molecule: microRNA, 23 nt
Filed under: Heligmosomoides polygyrus
Lineage: Eukaryota; Metazoa; Nematoda; Chromadorea; Rhabditida; Heligmosomidae
Description: hpo-miR-10148-5p
Source: miRBase by way of RNAcentral
GCUGCGUCUGACCCUGAAAUCCC